RNAcentral lists this ribosomal RNA (315 nucleotides) under uncultured eukaryote. Its description in RNAcentral is "partial 18S ribosomal RNA". It matches the Rfam family "Eukaryotic small subunit ribosomal RNA", at positions 1470 to 1796 of the family's 1831-position model. The record is from RNAcentral.
CCCUUAGACGUUCUGGGCCGCACGCGCGCUACACUGACCGGUGCAACAAGCAUCCGUCCUUGGCCGACAGGCCCGGGCAAUCUUUGAACGCUGGUCGUGAUGGGGAUAGACUUUUGCAAUUUUUGGUCUUCAACGAGGAAUUCCUAGUAAACGCAAGUCAUCAACUUGCAUUGAUUACGUCCCUGCCCUUUGUACACACCGCCCGUCGCACCUACCGAUUGAAUGGUCCGGUGAAGCCUCCGGAUUGGCGCGCACCUCGGUGCCGCCGAGAAGUUGGCUAAACCUUACCAUUUAGAGGAAGGUGAANUCGUANCA